ACUGCGGUAGCCCAGUUUGAAAUGGCGUCUAUAGAUGCCGAAGGCCGCAGGUUUAAAUCCUGCCUGCAGUG
Molecule: non-coding RNA, 71 nt
Organism: Phthorimaea operculella (potato tuberworm)
Lineage: Eukaryota; Metazoa; Arthropoda; Insecta; Lepidoptera; Gelechiidae
Source: the annotation of a GenBank genome assembly